RNAcentral lists this ribosomal RNA (452 nucleotides) under uncultured bacterium. RNAcentral's name for it is "bacterial SSU rRNA". It matches the Rfam family "Bacterial small subunit ribosomal RNA", at positions 328 to 793 of the family's 1533-position model. The record is from RNAcentral.
UCAGUCGACUCCUACGGGAGGCAGCAGUGGGGAAUAUUGCACAAUGGACGAAAGUCUGAUGCAGCAACGCCGCGUGGAGGAUGACACAUUUCGGUGCGUAAACUCCUUUUAUAUAGGAAGAUAAUGACGGUACUAUAUGAAUAAAGCACCGGCUAACUCCGUGCCAGCAGCCGCGGUAAUACGGAGGGUGCAAGCGUUACUCGGAAUCACUGGGCGUAAAGAGCGUGUAGGCGGGUUAAGUAAGUUGGAUGUGAAAUCCUAUGGCUCAACCAUAGAACUGCAUCCAAAACUGUUAACCUAGAGUAUGGGAGAGGUAGAUGGAAUUUCUGGUGUAGGGUAAAAUACCGUAGAGAUCAGAAGGAAUACCGAUUGCGAAGGCGAUCUACUGGAACAUUACUGACGCUGAGACGCGGAAAGCGUGGGGAGCAAACAGGAUUAGAUACCCCUGGUAG